Molecule: unclassified non-coding RNA, 145 nt
Filed under: soil metagenome
Description: partial internal transcribed spacer 1
Source: RNAcentral
UAAUAAGUGUUUUAUGGCACUUUUUAAAUCCAUAUCCACCUUGUGUGCAAUGUCAGUCGAUCUUCUUCAUGGAGAUCGACCAAACAUCAACCUUUAUCUUUUAACUCUUUGUCUGAAAAUAUAUAUGAAUAAACAAUUCAAAAUA